GAUGAAGAACGCAGCGAAAUGCGAUAAGUAAUGUGAAUUGCAGAAUUCAGUGAAUCAUCGAAUCUUUGAACGCACAUUGCGCCCCCCAGUAUUCUGGCUGGCAUGCCUGUUCGAGCGUCAUUUCAACCAUCAAGCCCUGCUUGUGUUGGGGUCCUGCGGCUGCCCGCAGGCCCUGAAAACCAGUGGCGGGCUCGCUAGUCACACCGAGCGCAGUAGCACAUCUCGCUCAGGGCGUGCGGCGGGCUCCAGCCGUUAAAGCACCCACCUUUCGCAAGGUUGACCUCGGAUCAGGUAGGAAUACCCGCUGAACUUAAGCAUAUCAAUAAGCGGAGGA
Molecule: unclassified non-coding RNA, 334 nt
Filed under: soil metagenome
Description: partial contains 5.8S ribosomal RNA, internal transcribed spacer 2, and large subunit ribosomal RNA
Rfam family: 5.8S ribosomal RNA (bases 1-120)
Source: RNAcentral